UACAGAGGGGGCAAGCGUUAUUCGGAAUUAUUGGGCUUAAAGGGCGCGUAGGCGGCUUGGCAGGUGGAAGGUGAAAUCCCUCGGCUUAACCGAGGAACUGCCCUCCAAACUGCUUUGCUUGAGGCCGGGAGAGGUGAGUGGAACUGCGAGUGUAGAGGUGAAAUUCGUAGAUAUUCGCAAGAACACCAGUGGCGAAGGCGGCUCACUGGCCCGAUACUGACGCUGAGGCACGAAAGCGUGGGGAGCAAACAGG
RNAcentral lists this ribosomal RNA (253 nucleotides) under uncultured bacterium. Its description in RNAcentral is "partial 16S ribosomal RNA". It matches the Rfam family "Bacterial small subunit ribosomal RNA", at positions 524 to 776 of the family's 1533-position model. The record is from RNAcentral.